This 303-nucleotide ribosomal RNA is filed under the name Triticum aestivum (bread wheat). Its description in RNAcentral is "partial small subunit ribosomal RNA". The record is from RNAcentral. Lineage: Eukaryota; Viridiplantae; Streptophyta; Magnoliopsida; Poales; Poaceae.
AUGACCGUCCCCGAGCCGGAGAUGCCGGCGUCGGCGCGCAGGCGUUUGUUCCUCGCCAGGUUCGACGCGCUCAUCUUCCUGCAUUGCGGGCUGCUCUGGGUCAUCUGCGCGGUGUACCUCGCCUUGGUCAUAGCGCGUCUUGCCCUGGGUAAGCUCGAGAUUCCCCCCGCGCUCUGGGCAGCGUCCUGGGUCUGCGCCUACAUCGUUCUGUGUCUCACCCCCGUUUCCACGUUCCUCGUCGGCGCGCGCUCCUCGCGCUCCGUGUACAACCCCACCGACGCCAACAAGGUGACCCUGCCAUGA